Molecule: long non-coding RNA, 398 nt
Organism: Colletes gigas
Lineage: Eukaryota; Metazoa; Arthropoda; Insecta; Hymenoptera; Colletidae
Exons: 3
Source: RefSeq, a predicted model, not a curated record
CCAAAAGCCACGGAAUAGGCUAAUUUUCAUGGACGAACCGGUGUCCAGCUAAUACCGGGAGCCACUCAAAUGGAGACUGUUUUCGUGGACAAACUGAUGUACGGCUAAUACCGGAAGCCACAAGAUGGUUAGGUUUCGUAGACGAAUCGGUGUGUCUGGCUAACACCAGCAGCCACCAGGAUGGAAUAGACUCGAACCCAGUGGAUCGUCGUAAUUCUUGCAAGAUUUAGAAACUACAAGCUUGCAAGGCUAUUUUGAUACUGUACAGGUGCAAUCGUAUAGCGACAAAACGGUAUUAAAAUAUACAAAAUGGAGGCGCGAAUUGAUUGUAAACGUCGUUUUUUUUUUUAAGCCACGCGCGUUACGGUGAAUGCUAUCGCGUCCAGGUCAAUGUGUAA